RNAcentral lists this ribosomal RNA (439 nucleotides) under uncultured bacterium. RNAcentral's name for it is "partial 16S ribosomal RNA". It matches the Rfam family "Bacterial small subunit ribosomal RNA", at positions 339 to 795 of the family's 1533-position model. The record is from RNAcentral.
CUACGGGUCGCAGCAGUGAGGAAUAUUGCACAAUGGAGGAAACUCUGAUGCAGCAACGCCGCGUGGAGGAUGACGCAUUUCGGUGUGUAGACUCCUUUUAUAUGUCAAGAAAAUGACGGUAGCAUAUGAAUAAGCACCGGCUAACUCCGUGCCAGCAGCCGCGGUAAUACGGAGGGUGCAAGCGUUACUCGGAAUCACUGGGCGUAAAGGACGCGUAGGCGGGAUAUCAAGUCAGGUGUGAAAUCCUACAGCUUAACUGUAGAACUGCACUUGAAGCUGGUAACCUAGAGUAUGGGAGGGGGAGAUGGAAUUAGUGGUGUAGGGGUAAAAUCCGUAGAUAUCACUAGGAAUACCUAAAGCGAAGGCGAUCUCCUGGAACAUAACUGACGCUAAGGCGUGAAAGCGUAGGGAGCAAACAGGAUUAGAUACCCGCGUAGUC